CAGUCAGGUAGGAUAAUCCUUACCUGUUCCUCCUUUUGGAGGGCAGAUUGUUAGCAUCUCUGCAUAAUCAGGAUUUGCAAGACCUUGAUUGUAAAAUAAA
Molecule: non-coding RNA, 100 nt
Organism: Myotis lucifugus (little brown bat)
Lineage: Eukaryota; Metazoa; Chordata; Mammalia; Chiroptera; Vespertilionidae
Source: Rfam